Molecule: long non-coding RNA, 203 nt
Filed under: Brassica napus (rape)
Lineage: Eukaryota; Viridiplantae; Streptophyta; Magnoliopsida; Brassicales; Brassicaceae
Description: long non-coding RNA (BNAP_LNC023357)
Source: RNAcentral
UGAGUGCGAGAAGUAACCCAAAGACCUUGUCUUGCUCAUGCCUUUCAUUGAGGAUAUUUGGAUCAGUGGUGCUUGGCCUUAGCAUUUCAAGCUCAGACCACAAUUGACUGAACUUCCCAAGGUGCUUGGUAAAGUUCAUCUCUUCCUGCUGUAAGUUGUUGAUUGCCUUCUUCACUUCAAAAAUUCAGGUAAGGUUUGAAGUG